CGAAGACACUGGGAUAGCGUGUCCUGAAACGUGGGGUCCGUAUUUCAGUGUCCUGCUUUCACUCAGUAUUUUACUGACGGCGCUCGUCACACAGAAGGGCUGCAGCCACCAGGAGUGGUUUGGGCUGGUGUCUCCCCAAAAUAACCAGUUGUUGCUUAGGGCUGCACAACAGUAAUUGACGUCUUUAGCUACGGUCUUGGGAAGAAUGCAUAGUCCUGCUCUAAGUUUGCUCUAAACUCCUUCCUUUACAUAGCUGUUCUGGAUGGCCCUGGCCUCUCCUGGAUGCUGGCACUAAGGCCUCUGAGGUGACCACACGGUCUUCUGUUGGGAAUCUGCUUCUGGAGCAUACAGGAGAGGCCUGGGAGAUGUGCUUUUUCUGCUUAAAUAAAGAAUUUGUGCCACUGGGAAGCCACAUCCCAUCCUUGUGUUCUGUGGGAGAAGCCAAGCCAAGUGUUGCCUGGUGCUUUUGCAGAUCAGCCUGUGGCCAUAGACCAUAUCUGAGGGAGCCAGUUGUCAGUUGAAGGUGCAUGGGUGCUGGAUGUUAGAACCUGAGAGUGAAAAAUGAGGUGUUUCACAGAAAUCUUCAGCAAGAAAACACUGGAGAAAAACAUUUCUGUUUGUACAGUUGACAAGGAAGUCCAGUGCAAUGUUUAGACACUUCCAGGUUCCUGCAGGCUUUUUGAUGAAUGAUGACUGUUGGGUGCAGAGAGGAUUCACCUAACAAAAUGAGGCAUGGAUGUCCUUGCCAACAGGCUUGCCAGUCUCAUAAGGAGAGCUUUAAACUAGGUUACUGAAGGAUGAAGUAGUUCCACCAGACCUAAGCU
This is a long non-coding RNA of Pezoporus occidentalis (night parrot), 824 nucleotides long. RefSeq lists it as uncharacterized. Lineage: Eukaryota; Metazoa; Chordata; Aves; Psittaciformes; Psittacidae. The transcript is spliced from 3 exons. The record is from RefSeq and is a predicted model, not a curated record.